ACAAGUAAAGAGACAAACAACACAAGCAAACACAGAGACUAUUUAUACAAAGAGAGAACCCUCUACAUGAAGACUGCUCCGGUCUAGUAAUCUUCCGGAGCCAAUGGUUGGUGGGUACUGUGGUGAGGAGGUUCGUUCACGCUGGGGAUGAUCAUGUACUCAUAGAUCAGUGCGGCGAGUGCACCACCAAUGAACGGUCCAACCCAAUAGAUCCAAUGGUUACUCCACCUCCAUCCCACUAAUGCUGGACCAAAGGCUCUAGCCGGAUUCAUAGAGGCUCCAUCGAAAGGUCCUCCCACCAAAAUGUUUGCCCCAACUAUGAGCCCGAUGGCUAGUGGCGCUAUGAUCCCAAUACUCCCCCUCUUUGGAUCGAUUGCGGUCGAGUAGACAACAUAAACCAAAGCAAAUGUAAGUAUGAUCUCCAUCAGUAGCCCAUGAAGCUCACUAACUCCUGAUGCUACA
Molecule: long non-coding RNA, 462 nt
Organism: Arabidopsis thaliana (thale cress)
Lineage: Eukaryota; Viridiplantae; Streptophyta; Magnoliopsida; Brassicales; Brassicaceae
Product: other RNA
Exons: 1
Source: RefSeq